This 1429-nucleotide ribosomal RNA is filed under the name metagenome. RNAcentral describes it as "bacterial SSU rRNA". It matches the Rfam family "Bacterial small subunit ribosomal RNA". The record is from RNAcentral.
AGAGUUUGAUCAUGGCUCAGAUUGAACGCUGGCGGCAUGCCUUACACAUGCAAGUCGAACGGCAGCACGGGAGCUUGCUCCUGGUGGCGAGUGGCGAACGGGUGAGUAAUAUAUCGGAACGUACCCUAGAGUGGGGGAUAACGUAGCGAAAGUUACGCUAAUACCGCAUACGAUCUACGGAUGAAAGUGGGGGAUCGCAAGACCUCAUGCUCAUGGAGCGGCCGAUAUCUGAUUAGCUAGUUGGUGGGGUAAAAGCUCACCAAGGCGACGAUCAGUAGCUGGUCUGAGAGGACGACCAGCCACACUGGAACUGAGACACGGUCCAGACUCCUACGGGAGGCAGCAGUGGGGAAUUUUGGACAAUGGGCGCAAGCCUGAUCCAGCAAUGCCGCGUGAGUGAGGAAGGCCUUCGGGUUGUAAAGCUCUUUUGUCAGGGAAGAAACGGUUCGGGCUAAUAUCCUGGGCUAAUGACGGUACCUGAAGAAUAAGCACCGGCUAACUACGUGCCAGCAGCCGCGGUAAUACGUAGGGUGCAAGCGUUAAUCGGAAUUACUGGGCGUAAAGCGUGCGCAGGCGGUUGUGCAAGACAGAUGUGAAAUCCCCGGGCUCAACCUGGGAAUUGCAUUUGUGACUGCACGGCUAGAGUGUGUCAGAGGGGGGUAGAAUUCCACGUGUAGCAGUGAAAUGCGUAGAGAUGUGGAGGAAUACCGAUGGCGAAGGCAGCCCCCUGGGAUAACACUGACGCUCAUGCACGAAAGCGUGGGGAGCAAACAGGAUUAGAUACCCUGGUAGUCCACGCCCUAAACGAUGUCUACUAGUUGUCGGGUCUUAAUUGACUUGGUAACGCAGCUAACGCGUGAAGUAGACCGCCUGGGGAGUACGGUCGCAAGAUUAAAACUCAAAGGAAUUGACGGGGACCCGCACAAGCGGUGGAUGAUGUGGAUUAAUUCGAUGCAACGCGAAAAACCUUACCUACCCUUGACAUGUCUGGAAUCCUUGAGAGAUCAGGGAGUGCUCGAAAGAGAAUCAGAACACAGGUGCUGCAUGGCUGUCGUCAGCUCGUGUCGUGAGAUGUUGGGUUAAGUCCCGCAACGAGCGCAACCCUUGUCAUUAGUUGCUACGAAAGGGCACUCUAAUGAGACUGCCGGUGACAAACCGGAGGAAGGUGGGGAUGACGUCAAGUCCUCAUGGCCCUUAUGGGUAGGGCUUCACACGUCAUACAAUGGUACAUACAGAGGGCCGCCAACCCGCGAGGGGGAGCUAAUCCCAGAAAGUGUAUCGUAGUCCGGAUUGUAGUCUGCAACUCGACUACAUGAAGUUGGAAUCGCUAGUAAUCGCGGAUCAGCAUGUCGCGGUGAAUACGUUCCCGGGUCUUGUACACACCGCCCGUCACACCAUGGGAGCGGGUUUCACCAGAAGUGGGUAGCCU